Molecule: ribosomal RNA, 301 nt
Filed under: uncultured bacterium
Lineage: Bacteria
Description: partial 16S ribosomal RNA
Rfam family: Bacterial small subunit ribosomal RNA
Source: RNAcentral
CAGUAGCCGCGGUAAUACAGAGGGUGCAAGCGUCAAUCGGAAUUACUGGGCGUAAAGCGCGCGUAGGUGGUUUGUUAAGUUGGAUGUGAAAUCCCCGGGCUCAACCUGGGAACUGCAUCCAAAACUGGCAAGCUAGAGUAUGGUAGAGGGUGGUGGAAUUUCCUGUGUAGCGGUGAAAUGCGUAGAUAUAGGAAGGAACACCAGUGGCGAAGGCGACCACCUGGACUGAUACUGACACUGAGGUGCGAAAGCGUGGGGAGCAAACAGGAUUAGAGACCCGAGUAGUCCCUGUCUCUUAUAC